Molecule: long non-coding RNA, 11295 nt
Filed under: Setaria italica (foxtail millet)
Lineage: Eukaryota; Viridiplantae; Streptophyta; Magnoliopsida; Poales; Poaceae
Description: long non-coding RNA (SITA_LNC002746)
Source: RNAcentral
GCUACCGAAACUCCUUUAGUACUGGUUGUGGUACUGAUAAUUCAGUACUAAGGGGCUUUUAGUACUGGUUGAAAUAACCACCCUUUAGCACCGGUUGGAGAGACCAACCGUACUAAAGGGCCUGCCAUGCCGCGCGGAGGGGCGGCCUAACCGGUACUAUUUUCUUUUCUUUUCUUUUCUCAUUUUCUUUUCUAUUUCUUUAGUCUAUAUUCGUAUCUCGUAUUUAUUUCCUUUACAUGUACUAGUUCUAAUAUGCUAAUAUAUAUAAUGUUCUAUUUAUCUUUAAUAUUACAUUUGAGAUACUAUUAUAUAUAGACAUAUUGUGCAUACACAUAUAUGAAUAAUAUUACAUUGCCUCAACUUUCCAAGUUCAAUAUUUCGUAUCUACUAUUCUGAACCCAAGUCAUGACGGUGAUGUAGAUUUGAUUCAUCAUUAUGAAACUCCCCCACUGGAUUUAUGAGCUCGUCCAAAAGAAAUCCACAGAGUUGUUCUUGAACUGCCCUGAUGCAGUUCGUGUCGAGAACUAUUUCCUUCAUGUACAUCAUUUGUGUAUAUACAAAUAAAUUGAACUAUAAGCAAAUAAAUUGAAAUACUUAAUCUAAUUGAAAUAUAAGCAAAUAAAUUGAAAUACUUAAUCUAUUUUUUCUAAGUAUAUACACAUGAAUUGAUUUUUGAAGUAUAUACACAUGAAUUGAUUUUCUAAGUAGAACUAAUUUAUUGUUAAGAAUUUUGUAUAUGUACGGUUAAGUCGUGGUCGGUCAUACGCGGCGGACCUACAAAGCUGUGGAUGAACUCACAUACGAAGUAUCCGCAUAAAUUAGUACCAGGCUCAUGUCUCCAACACUAUAUAUAUUGAAAAAAGCUCAUGUCUCCAACACUAUAUAUAUGAAAAAAAGUUAUGAAAUAUUUUUUGUGUUAAAGGAAGUGUCACGAGAUGUGAAAAUUCAACACAUACCGGAAAAUCAGUCUUCGAAUAAAGUUCCUCCCAUUCACCCACGUGAUUUCGACAGAAUCGAGCCCAUGCUUUGUUCAUGGCGUCUAUGAUGUCAUUGUAUUCUUGUUUUCAUUUCCUCAAAGAGUCGAAUACAUAUAGUAAGCUCAUAUCAGGUACGACAACAAUGAGUAUCCAAUGGAAACUGUGCAGCCAAAUUAAAGCUAGUCAGUCUUAUGUUUAACUGCUAGUUCGAAAAAGAAAGAGAUGGGAGACAUGCUUACUUGAAGUUGUACGGUAGUAUUAUGUACUUCUUGUAAUGUUGCAUGUCGAGUAACUUAUAUAUAUUAUUCAAGCUCCGAUUUUGUUUAUCUCCUAGAGUUGACUCGUUUACAACAUCGGGGUCCAUGAAGCCUACUUGAUAGUAUCCCUGUCUGGUAGUGGACUCAUGCUAGGAUCCCUGUUUGGUAGUGGAGAGGAUGCCCUAGCAGAUAGCGUAGGUGAUAUGGCCCUUGAGCAUUGAUGAGAUGAUCCCAAGGUUAGAGGAUUCAGGUGUGUAAUCCUUAUGUAGCACUUGGAUCAUAGAAUCCAACCAUGGAUGGCUUCUUCUUGAUUCUUUCUCCUAUCAUCUCUAGGGAUCUCCAGUUCCUGGUCAUCCCAACUAUCGACCACUCAGUCCACCAUAACUUUGGUGUAACCGCGAGCUAGAAUCUCCACGUCCUGAAGUGUUUGGCCUUGCAUCGGUUGCUCAACCACACCAUAAGCCACCACAAUGAGCUUGUUUUUCAUGGGAGUAACAAGCUCACUCUCCCAGUGAUGUCGUCCAUGGGGUGGCAUUGGUUGUCCUCAAGUAUGUCAGAAGAUCCUCAAGCUGGGGCUUCCGUGGAAGCGACAUUUCUUUGACGUUGAGUGGGGCUUACGUCGACAUGCGGUCCUGAUGCUGCAUCAGCUGCUUGUUCACUGGCUUGUGGUCCUCCAUAUAUGGAGCGACCAGGGAUGAUUAUUGUAGGACCAUUAAAUGUGCUUUACGAAAUGUAAUCUCAUCGAUGUCCAUCCAAGCUUUCCUCCCUAGUGUGCCCUUUCCCUUCAAUCUCCCCUCAUGGUGUGAUACAGGGACUCUGAUCGAUCUCAGGUCAUCAAUAAAGUCAACACAAAACUCAAUGACCUCCUCUAUUCCAUAUCCCUUUGCAAUGCUUCCUUCUGGAUGGGCACGGUUACAAACAUACUUCUUCAGAAUUGCCAUAAACCUCUUGAAAGGGACAUAUUGUGUAGAAAUAGAGGACCGAGAACAAAAAUCUCUUCAACAAGGUGGACUAGAAGGUGGAUCAUGAUAUUAAAAAAGGAAGGUGGAAAGAUCAUCUCAAAGCUGACCAGGCAUUGCACCAUGUCAUUCUGUAGCUUUAGUAGAUUGUUUGGAUGGAUUAACUUCUAAGAAAUCAUGUUGAGGAAUGCACAUAGCAUCACGAUUGUCAUUCUCACAUUCUCUGGUAGAAUACCCCUCACCGCAACAAGCAACAAUUGUGUCAUCAGGACAUGGCAGUCAUGUGCCUUUAGAUUUGUGAAUUUCUUUUGUUUAAAAUUUUUUAUUGCCUAUAUAUUCGAGGAGUAGCCUGAUGGGACCUUGAUACUAUUCAAGCACUCAAAUAUGCUUUCCUUCUCUUCCUUGCUGAGAGUGUAACUAACAGGAUGCCAGUAAUGUCCAUCAUCUCUCUUUUUUGAAUGUAGGCUAUCUCGUUGUUUCAUACAUUUCAGGUCCUGACGUGCUUCAAUUGUAUCCUUUGCCUUUCCAUAUAUACCUAGAAAGCCAAGCACGUUCACGCAAAGAUUUUUCAUCAGGUGCAUCACAUCAAUUGCAUUACGGAUCUGAAGGACUUCCCAAUAAGGUAGCUCCCAAAAUAUAGACUUAUUCUUCCACAGGGGUGCAUGUCUAUCCUCGUUGUUUGGAAUAGGUUGGCUACCAGAGCCCUUGCCAAAGACAAUCCUCACAUCCUUUAUCAUAGAAAAUACACAUUUACCAUUAUGGUGAACGGGCUUAGUAUGUUUUUCUUCCUCCCCUUCAAAAUGCUUUCCUUCCUUUCUUAACAGGUGUUUAGCAGGAAGAAAUUGAUGAUGGCUUGUAUACACGACAUUCCUACAAUGUUUCAAAUACAUGCUGCAUGUAUCAUCUAAAUAGUGCAUGCAGGCUCGGAAUCCCUUGUUUGACUGUCCGAAUAGAUUACCAAGCGCCGGCCAAUCAUUGAUGGUUAUGAACAACAAUACUCAUAGCUUAAAUGUCUCCUUUUUGUCCUCAUCCCACACACGUACCUUCUUCCUUCCAUAACAGUAGAAGUUCAUCAACCAACGGUUUUAGGUAAACAUCAAUGUCGUUGCCUGGUUGUUUUGGGCCUUGGAUAAUUAUUGGCUUCAUAAUGAACUUCUGCUUCAUGCACAUCCAGGGCGGAAGGUUAAACAUACAUAAGGUCACAGGCCAAGUGCUAUGACCACUGCUGAACUUUCUGAAAGAAUUGAAUCCAUCUCUACUUAAACCAAACCGUAUGUUCCUUGCAUCCUUUUCAAACUUGGGAAAUUCUCUACCAACUGUUCUCCACUGGGACCCAUCAGCGGGGUGUCUGAUCAUUUCAUCUUGCUUACAUUCUUCUUUGUGCCAACGCAUCAACAUUUGCAUGUGCCUUGUUUCUGAAUAAACGCUUCAACUGUAGUACUACAGGGAAAUACCACAUUACCUUCAUAGAAACUUUCUUCUUGAUGGCCUGCCAUUCAACAUCACCGGGGUCAUCUUGCCUGAUCUUAUAACAUAGGGCUUCGCACACAAGACAAGCCUCCAAUUUCUCGUAUUCCUCACCGCGAUAGAGGAUACAAUCAUUAGGAUAUGCAUGUAUCUUUUGUACCUCCAAACCCAGAGGUCAAACAACCUUUUUUGCUUUGUACGUUGAGGACGGCAAUUCGUUCCCCUCAGGAAGCAUGUUCUUUAUGAUUUUCAUUAACUCGUCAAAAUCCUUGUCAGAAACUCCAUUUUUUGCCUUCCAUUGCAGCAUUUCUAGUGUGGUACCUAACUUUUUGUGCCCCUAUUUGCAAUCUAAGUACAACAAUUUUUUAUAAUCAUCUAACAUAUGGUCGAACUUUUUUGACUCCUUCACAUUCUCGCAGUCUUCCUUUGCAUCUCGCAACAUCUGAAAUAGAUCAUCGAUAGGACCUUCUGCCUCGCCCAUCUCUUCUUCAGCUUCACCCAUUGGAGCAUCUGCAAAGGCACCUUCUUGAAUCCAAUCAGGAAUGUUGUCUUCUUCUUCUUAUUCAUCAUCAUCCAUCAUAACUCCUCCUUCCCCGUGCUUGGUCCAAACAAAAUAGCUAGGCAUGAAUCCAGAACUGUAUAUGUGGGCGUGAAUAGUCUUUCUGGAUAAGUAAUCCUUCUCUUUUUUGCAAUUUUUGCAUUGCCAACAAAUGAAACUGGAUGACAGUUUGUUGAAUUUUGCCUGAUCGAGAAAACCACGCAAACUAUUAAUGUACUCCAUGGAAUGUUUGUCUACGUUGACAUCCAUUGCCAAUUCAUCUACAAAAUAUUAUCGAACCAAAGAUAUUCUGAUCAUCCAUAAAAUUAUAAAUGAAACAUAAAAAACAUGAAACAAUUAGCACUAAACUGAAAUAUUGCUGAAAGUUUAGAUCGAAAUAUAAAAGUUUAAAUUUCAGACCCAAACAACAUUAUACACCUACGCCCAAAUCCAAAUUCCAAACCCCUCUCCCUCCCGCCGCUCCGCACCCCAACCCAGAUCCCCGUUUCUCAAUCCCUCCGCUCCUAGCUCCAAUUCCAAUUCCCCACAUGCCCUCGAUCCUGAUUGAUGCAGCCGCGAUGGUGCGCGAGCUGCGCGUCGACUCCUUCUACCACUACCAGGGGCUCAAGAUCAUGUUAGUUCUUUUUUUUUAUUUCUACAAUAUAGGAAUUAGCUACCUGCUAAGAAGAAGUUAGUGUUCAAGUUCAAUUAUGAAUCAGGAAGAAGAAAUGAUACAUGAGAGAAAGAUGAAACGAUACAUUCGAACUGGGCUACUGCAGGCCUUAGAGAGCUGGGGGAUAGAGCUUUGUGGGGGAAGUGUUGGAGGGCUAAGAUCUUGGAGAUGCAAAAGCUUGUGGCUUGGAGCGGGUACUAGGGUGGUGUGUAUUUGUAGGUCGGAUCGGAGAGGAGUACUGGACUAGUACGUAAUUGCUAAAUUAACAUGAUAUAAUUUUCACUUAUUUUUAUACAUUUCUAUGAAUUAACAUGAUUUUAUAUAAAUUCUAGCUACUUCAAGAAUUUUUUUCUACAUUAACAUGAUUUUCUACAAUUUCCUAUACAAAAUGGUGUAUAUAUUUAAAAAACAAAUAUGAGCUCUAAAUAACACAUUCAUAUAAAUGAAAAUUUUCUCCAUUGUACCUUAUUCUAAAAAUCACAAAUUACUCUAGCUCUAAAGCAUAAAACUUACUAUACUAACCAUGUAUCAAGGGAGGAGGAAGUUUCUAACCUUUAGAAUACUUGAAUGAGUGAAAUCCCCAAAAAUGGUCAAAAAUCCGGCAGCACCUCCCCCUAUUUCGCCACGGAUAGGGUGAAGCUCGAGCUAGAGGAAAUGCCUUAGGCAGGAGAAAGAAGGAGGGGAUUUAUAGGAGGAAGCCCCCAACAGGUACUGAAGGGUCCACAUUAGUACUGGUUGGUGCUCCCAACCGGUACUAAAGAGCCUCACGGGCACUCCCUCGAGGACUAUCCAUUCGGCUUGGCACUAAUGCUAACAUUAGUACCAGUACUGAGGCCGUGGACGAAAGGUCCAUUCCCACUUGCAGUGGUAGCUAUAGUUAUUUUUGUUGGGAAUCGCCAAAACACUAAACACCCUCAAGCGCCGUUCCUAGGUAAAAACUCUUUAACCUCGCAAGUUCUAGACCAAGGAACAAAACUUAGUUAACCUCGCCAGUUCCUAUAGGAACUAUUCUGGUAGUAAAACUCAUACCCUCGCAUCUUUUUUGUUUUUGGAGGGACUCGAUGCUGGCAACUGAUAACUGAUGACUGAACUCCAACUGAGCUAACCCUCGAGUGUUUGGAGUCAGUCCCAAACACCGAGCUUUUACCUUUUUACUCUUUACUUAGGAACGGAACAUAGAGGGAGACUUUGCAAAGUUAUAACUUCUCGGUGCAGCCUAAUAACCAGGUGCCACGAGGUUGAACAACUAUCUCGGAACGAGGGUGGAGACACGAGGCUGGAGGGUCGAUCUGGCACGAAGGUGAAGUAUCAUGGUUGGAAGGAUGGAGGGGUGAGAAACAUGACCACGUGGAGGAAUUCAAUUUGUACACAUUACCCCCAAUUACCUUUAUGUACGGUAUAUCCUAGGAAUGUUGUGGUUCAGGAAGGACAUUUUCGAAAUGUAAAGUGGCUCAUGGGUCACUAUAGAAGGGGAGCCCUACCUUGUUGUUAAGGGAGACCCAUCAUUUUUCUAUUUUUCAAGCAUUAUUCUCUUUUAUUCACAAAUAUAUUCGGUAUCAAAUUCCUUUGAGACCAAUAGGGCACCCACCAUGUUCUCAGCCAUAAAACAACCCAAGAUGCCACAACCAAAGAAGAAGAAGAUCACAUCGCAUGAAACCACCGAGGGUGAAAGAUAGAAAGAGAGAGGGCUUGUCCCUAUCGAUCAAAACGACACAGACACCUUAGAGGGGUUAAAGACAGUUGAGGCCAACUUAUGAACAAGAAGUGAGAAAAAGGAGCCGAGGCAGAGACAAAAAACCAAACAUGACCAGCAGCAGCCAUACCCAGCUCAACACGUGCUACCAGAUGAGGGUGCUCAAUCCUCAUAAUAGCAAAGUCAUAAUAGACAACCCCAACAACAACAAACAAACAAACUAUGAUGCUCAAUCCUCAUAAUAGCAAAGUCAUAAUAGAAAACCCCAACAACAACAAACAAACAAACAAACUAUGGCACCGGGCAAACAAACGGUCAUUCCGGAAGAGGGAGAGGACGAGGCAGAGGACCUCCAAGGCAACACAAUCAAAACAAUCAACCUCGAAUGUUUUAUUGCACAUUUCAUGGCAAGCAACUAGAUCAUGCGGCUGAGUUUUUCCCAGAAACAAAAAAGACCUUCGAAAGAAUAGCUGAAGUAAAAAGAGUACCCGCAACACCAAAAACCAUCCACCAUACCUCUUUUUUGCUGCAAUAGCCAUAUUUCCAAGCUUAUCCACAAACAAACCCAAAUACUAACCUCGCAAACUCCUUUGCUAAUCCUUCCUUCAACUUCCAACCCACCAUGAUGUGGCAACCUUCACCAUAGUAUCAACCUCAAAGUCAGCAAGCCUCGCAAACUGCAAGCUUCGCACCUUACCAGCCUCUACAUGAGAUACUACUACCUCCACCAAAUCUACCCAAUCAAAUACCUAAGGCCAAGCCCAACAAUGCCGAAAACAACAACCCAAAGCCCUACCCACCUACGGUAUGAUAAUGACAAUAUCGGGAGGAUCCUCACAAAAACUCAAAAAUCCAAAAACCAAUUCAAACGCCUUGCCCACCUACAGCAUAAUCAUGUCAAUAGGAGGUGGAUCCUCUCGAGAGUUUGAGAACAAAAGACAAAGGCAAAAUUACUUUAGACAAGUCCAUUUGAUCAUCCCUAACAGGCCACCAGCCAAGUAAGAAUGGGCACACAUGCGCAUCUCCUUCACGGAAGAAGACUUUAAACUCAAAACAGCCUCGCAUAAUGAUGCGAUGGUGAUUGAGGCUAUCGUUGCAGGAUGGAAAAUCAGAAAAGUGCUAGUUGAUAACAGAAGCUCAGCGGAUAUCAUUUUCGCAAGCACAUUUAGAGAAAUGAAAAUUGAUCCUCAAUGCAACAGCCAAUAGAACUAGCACUGCUUGGCUUCGGUGGAAAGCGAGUACAAGCUCUUGUGACAUCCCUAGUGAUUAAGAGACUAAAUCAAAGAAUCAUCAAAGUGAUUAAGAAACAAAAGAGCCACCCAAUCUAGACAAAAUAGCUAUUUUGAUAAGAGGAGGAAACCCUUGCAAUUCGAAGUUGGUGACCAUGUGUACCUUCGGGUUUCACCAACCAAAGGUGUGCAAAGGUUUGGAGUAAAGGGAAAACUAGCUCCUCGAUAUAUUGAUCCAUAUGAAAUCACUGAAAUUUGUGGACCCGUGGCCUAUCAAGUGAAACUUCCACCUGAACUCUCAGCUAUCCAUGAUGUCUUCCAUGUCUCUCAACUUAAGAAAUGUGUUCGAGUUCCAACCGAUAUUAUCAAACAAGAGGAAAUAUGGGUAGAACCGUAUCUUUCUUAUGUUGAGUUUCCCAUCAAGAUUCUUGAUCGCAAGGAAAGAAGGACUAGGCGACAAGUGGUAAAAAUAUUUAAGAUACAAUGGAGCCAUCUCACCGAAGAUGAGGCAACAUGGGAAACCGAAGAAUUUCUCAACAAAAAUUUCCGCGGUUUCCUAUUCGGACAGAAAGGUACACGCACAACCACACUAGUUUUAAUGACCCAAAUCUGUGGAUGAGAUUCUUGUUAAGGGGUGUCCCUUGUGAUUAAGAGACUAAACCAAAAAAUCAUCAAAGUGAUUAAGAAACAAAUCAAAACUAACUCCAAAUUUGCUAAGUGUUAAACUCAAAGACAAAUCAAAUUGCUAAGUGUUGAGCCCCUUUAAUGGUGCUCACUUGGGCAGAAAAUAAAAACAAAUUUUGUAUAAGAACUCAAAUUUUGGCCAAUAUAAAAGUGGUAGAUCUCUUCAAAUUGAGCAACUUUCAUAAUUAGCACUUUUUCUGAUUUUGAGUGAAAGGUGUUCAAAAACUAGGUUGAAGUUCGAUCAAAUUUCAAAUCAAAUUGAAAAUCAGUUUUACCGACGUUCCACCAAAGUUCUCACAAUUUUAUCUCCAAAUCCAUCAAGCUUUUCACCUAGUGGCCUAUAUAAAAGUUGCAGUCUAUAAUUGGUCUGAAACUUUUGUAUUUGGAGUUUUCCUUGUGCAAUUCAAAUUUUGAGAGAAAAUGCGCACAGUAGAUCAGCCCCUCGCGCGCCACAAAUACUCAGGGGCAUAGUUGUUAGAAUUUGAAAAGUCUGAGGGGGGUUCUGUAAAAAGGAAAAGUUAAGUUUGAAUUAAAUGCAUUUAAAUGGCUGCAAACUUGGAAAAUACGUAGAAAACUGUAGAAAAAUGAUAAAAAUGUGAAACUUGUUUUUGUUGAGUUUCUGAUGAUAUCUAGUUUGUUUCAAAAAUGCUUAUGUGCAUGUUACUAUUGCAUAUCUAAUGCUAUAAUUUAUUUUAUUCUAGAAUUGUUAAAUACCUUAUAAAUCAUGUGAUGAUCUAAAAAUUGUGAAACCAAUUUUGUUAGCUUCCAUGUAACUUCUAUGUUCCAGGUUUGCAAAUUGUGUUAGUGGAAUCCAUGCUGUUCAUUCUGUUUCAAAUCCAAAUGCGUAAUUGCUCUCUUAAUACUGUUAUUUACAUGAUAAUUAGUGAAAAAUAGAUAAAAAUGCAAAAUAUUAGAUUCUUGAUGCUCAUAAUUUGUGUAUCAUUUAUGUAGAGGGAAAGCUCCUUUAAAAAUUUCAUGUUCAUAUAUUAACAGAUGCUUCCUAAAAUAUUUAUUCAUGAUUGAAAGCUAGUUUAAUUAUUAAUAAUAAUAACUACUAGAAAUUGUGGGCUAGCAAAUGGUUAUUUAUGCUCUUCAACAGUAGCAUGUUCGUCCCUAGAAGGUUGGCUCGACAGUACCAAAGCAGCACACCCUACUGUCAUUUCAUUAACAAAUGUCUAAGGAAGUUAUAUGUGUACACAAUCACCAUCAAAAUAAAAGCUAUGUUUUCUUUCCAACCAACCUUCUUUUGUGAAGAAAAAGAAAUGUUAUAAACUUGUCUAGGUGACUGUGGCCAAAAGAAAAAGAAAGGUUUAUAAACUUGUCUAGGUGAAUGUGACCAAUAUGAAAGAAAAGAUUAUAAACUUGUCUAGGUGAAUGUAGCCAAAAAUACACCCUAUGCUUUUGUACUGAUUAACAAAAUGAAACCUAGGUCAUGCAAGAUUAUAAACAAAAUCUUAUACAUAUGCAUCUCGUGUAGAAGCUAACCUCGCUGACGAACUUACAAGCUAGUCCCGGAGCCUGAAGAAGGACACCCUCCUCCUGAUCGAGGUGAAUCAAGACCCGAACCAAGAUUCGGAAGAGCCCAAGGCUAACCUAGGACAAGAAGGCAAGCUCCGGAGAACAACCCUAAUUUUCCAAUUUAUGCACCAUCCGUUUACUUAUGUUUGUGCAUUAAGUUCAUAGGAGUUGUAUUGAAACCUUAGUUGCAUGCUCCUAGUACCCAUGUGUUAAAUACUAGCAUGUUAAGUCGCGUAGUUGCUAUGGUAAAUAGGAACAUGGUAAAAGUCGAGUGAUUUCCUGUCACUCGUGAGCUAUAGGAGUUUCCUGUUUACUUAUGUUGGAAUCAUAAGGUUGACGGGCCGGGCUUGGUACUAUGUUUCUGAAAUUGUUGAUGCCUCAUCUGUAUAGAGGAAAAAUUGCUAAGGUCAAAACGUGUCGGUGUGCCUGGUCAAGUGUUUGAACAUACUAAGCACAUGCUGAGAGUACGAGGAAUCAGUAAGCCUAGUACCUGAUUGAACCGGUGUGGACCUUUCCCCCGCACUCUCUGGAACCGGGUUCCUUUGAUGCAUCAUGUGGGUACAAGUGCGGCCACGGAACGGCGUCGUUCCGGGGACCGGUGGGGCCUUGUAUCCAAGGGGAGUGGGAUCUGGACAAGCGCCGCGGAUCGAUGGGAACCAUUGAUAUAUGUGAACCCAUCGUGGUACACAUAUGUUGUGUGUUUAGGUCCACCUUGCAAGGUUAAGAAAUUCGAUUCGAAUCGUCUGCUUCUCACAGUUUGGGACUACUUGAUCACUAUGCUGCAUUGAGUAAGAAAAGGAACAAUAAUGAUGGCUAACAUUGAUGCUUGAUUAAAUUGCUUGUUCUACCAUGCUUGCUUAGAAUAGGUGCUUUCCUAGAAUGGUUAAUCAACUAGAACUUGAUGCUAACACUUGAUAGUAAGGAUCCACUUUAGGAUCUCUUGGCAAAAACAAACCCCUCAGCCAAAAAGCCUUGCAUGUCUAGGAGUCGGUAGAUUAGAUACCACCUGACGGGUAAGUCUUGCGGAGUAUUAGUAUACUUAGCCUUGCUUGUGGCUUUGUUUUCAGGUAAUGACGUUGAUGAUGUGGUUGCUAGUGUGACAUGGCCGUACCAGCUCCCUCCAGGAUGGACGGUUGAGUGGGACCCAUCCUCGGUGGGCGAGGACCAUGGUGAGUGAUAUCAUGGAUGGCUUCACCAUGAUAUCAUGUAUUGAUGUUAGAACUAUCAUUUAUUUCUACUGCAUUUGAACUCUGAAACUACUUUAUGAUUUUAACUCAGUUUGUAAUAAAUAAUUUAGGAA